This 100-nucleotide ribosomal RNA is filed under the name uncultured bacterium. RNAcentral's name for it is "partial 16S ribosomal RNA". The record is from RNAcentral.
UUCGGGUUGUAAAGCUCUUUCGGCCGGGAAGAAAUCGUGUUCUCUAACAUAGGACAUGGAUGACGGUACCGGACUAAGAAGCACCGGCUAACUACGUGCC